GCUAGAAUAGUUCAGUUGGUUAGAGCGUGUGGCUAUUAACCACAAGGUCGGAGGUUCAAGCCCUCCUAGUG
RNAcentral lists this transfer RNA (71 nucleotides) under Gossypium arboreum. It matches the Rfam family "tRNA". Rfam says of the family: Transfer RNA (tRNA) molecules are approximately 80 nucleotides in length. Their secondary structure includes four short double-helical elements and three loops (D, anti-codon, and T loops). The record is from Rfam by way of RNAcentral. Lineage: Eukaryota; Viridiplantae; Streptophyta; Magnoliopsida; Malvales; Malvaceae.